RNAcentral lists this ribosomal RNA (429 nucleotides) under Chloroflexota bacterium. Its description in RNAcentral is "Chloroflexi bacterium partial 16S ribosomal RNA". It matches the Rfam family "Bacterial small subunit ribosomal RNA", at positions 355 to 776 of the family's 1533-position model. Lineage: Bacteria; Bacillati; Chloroflexota. The record is from RNAcentral.
UGGGGAAUAUUGCACAAUGGGCGCAAGCCUGAUGCAGCCAUGCCGCGUGUAUGAAGAAGGCUUUCGGGUUGUAAAGUACUUUCAGCGGGGAGGAAGGGAGUAAAGUUAAUACCUUUGCUCAUUGACGUUACCCGCAGAAGAAGCACCGGCUACCUCUGUGCCAGCAGCCGCGGUAAUACGGAGGGUGCAAGCGUUAAUCGGAAUUACUGGGCGUAAAGCGCACGCAGGCGGUUUGUUAAGUCAGAUGUGAAAUCCCCGGGCUCAACCUGGGAACUGCAUCUGAUACUGGCAAGCUUGAGUCUCGUAGAGGGGGGUAGAAUUCCAGGUGUAGCGGUGAAAUGCGUAGAGAUCUGGAGGAAUACCGGUGGCGAAGGCGGCCCCCUGGACGAAGACUGACGCUCAGGUGCGAAAGCGUGGGGAGCAAACAGG